GGUCAGGUAGCUCAGUUGGUAGAGCACGGCCCUGAAAAGGCCGGUGUCGCCGGUUCGAGCCCGGCCCUGACCAC
Molecule: transfer RNA, 74 nt
Filed under: Stieleria magnilauensis
Lineage: Bacteria; Pseudomonadati; Planctomycetota; Planctomycetia; Pirellulales; Pirellulaceae
Also listed under: 4 other names
Description: Planctomycetes bacterium TBK1r tRNA-Phe
Rfam family: tRNA
About the family: Transfer RNA (tRNA) molecules are approximately 80 nucleotides in length.
Source: RNAcentral